UACGGGGGGAGCAGUCGUUGUCGGAAUUACUGGGCGUAAAGGGCUCGUAGGCGGCCAACUAAGUCAGACGUGAAAUCCCUCGGCUUAACCGGGGAACUGCGUCUGAUACUGGAUGGCUUGAAUCCGGGAGAGGGAUGCGGAAUUCCAGGUGUAGCGGUGAAAUUCGUAGAUAUCAGGAGGAACACCAGUGGCGAAGGCGGGUCUCUGGGCCGAUACUGACGCUGAGGAGCGAAAGCGUGGGGAGCGAACAGG
Molecule: ribosomal RNA, 252 nt
Filed under: uncultured bacterium
Lineage: Bacteria
Description: partial 16S ribosomal RNA
Rfam family: Bacterial small subunit ribosomal RNA
Source: RNAcentral